Molecule: ribosomal RNA, 423 nt
Filed under: uncultured bacterium
Lineage: Bacteria
Description: bacterial SSU rRNA
Rfam family: Bacterial small subunit ribosomal RNA
Source: RNAcentral
AAGACCUUGCGCUUUUGGAGCGGCCGAUGCCUGAUUAGCUUGUUGGUAAGGUAAAAGCUUACCAAGGCUUCGAUCAGUAGCUGGUCUGAGAGGACGACCAGCCACACUGGGACUGAGACACGGCCCAGACUCCUACGGGAGGCAGCAGUGGGGAAUUUUGGACAAUGGGGGCAACCCUGAUCCAGCCAUGCCGCGUGAGUGAAGAAGGCCUUCGGGUUGUAAAGCUCUUUCAGCCGGAACGAAACGGUUACGGUUAAUACCCGUAACUAAUGACGGUACCGGAAGAAGAAGCACCGGCUAACUACGUGCCAGCGGCCGCGGUAAUACGUAGGGUGCGAGCGUUAAUCGGAAUUACUGGGCGUAAAGCGUGCGCAGGUGGUUUUGUAAGUCAGAUGUGAAAGCCCCGGGCUCAACCUGGGAACU